RNAcentral lists this ribosomal RNA (443 nucleotides) under uncultured bacterium. Its description in RNAcentral is "partial 16S ribosomal RNA". It matches the Rfam family "Bacterial small subunit ribosomal RNA", at positions 338 to 795 of the family's 1533-position model. The record is from RNAcentral.
CCUACGGGUGGCUGCAGUGGGGAAUAUUGGGCAAUGGGCGCAAGCCUGACCCAGCAACGCCGCGUGAAGGACGAUGGCUUUCGGGUUGUAAACUUCUUUUAUUGAGGACGAAACAAAUGCCGGUACUCAAUGAAUAAGCCACGGCUAACUACGUGCCAGCAGCCGCGGUAAUACGUAGGUGGCAAGCGGUAUCCGGAUGUACUGGGUGUAAAGGGCGUGGAGGCGGGACGGCAAGUCAGAUGUGAAAUCCAUGGGCUCAACCCAUGCCCUGCAUUUGAAACUGUAGUUCUUGAGUGAGGGAGAGGCAGGCGGAAUUCCGGGUGUAGCGGUGAAAUGCGUAGAUAUACGGAGGAACACCAGUGGCGAAGGCGGCCUGCUGGACAUUAACUGACGCUGAGGCGCGAAAGCGUGGGGAGCAAACAGGAUUAGAUACCCCGGUAGUC